CCUAGAAACUGAAGACAUCCUGAAAUAUUGUAAAUAAGCAGAAAAUAUGAGGAACUGUAAGACUGACUUAUCACCUGAGAAAAACAGUCUGGGAAAACACAGUGGAAAACAGUCUGGGAAAAUAAAAUUGCUCUGAAAGAACAGAAAACAUCAUAAUGUAUUGGCUGUUACAGGUGAAACCAGACAUUAACAGCAUCUAUUGACUGCCUGAAGUAGGAUGUCCUACGCCCUCUUAUGUCUGCAUGUUAUAAAAAUGUGUUUAUUUGUUUACCCAAAACUGAGCUCCUGUGUCACUCAGAGCUUUCUGGUUUAAUCCCACACAAACUUUCUACAGGAUCUUGGACUGUCACCACAGAUGUCUUGCUGACCCCUGGCUGACCCCAGGAAAAAUGAAGAGCCAUGAGACACCCUGACACUUACAGUGGAAGUCCUCCACUGCAGCACUGAGGACAGAAUCUUCCCUGAUGCAUAAGGGUGCAAACGCCAGGUUCAUCAGCUCCUGCUGGAAACUGCCAGCUUUUGGCUUAGCAGGUGCAGCCCAUUUUUCUGGUGGUGUUGCACUUGUAGAUGAAGAGGACCCCACUCGACCAUCUUGGCUGGUGUUACUACACUUUUGUUUGCCAAUGUAUUCAUUAUUUUCACCUUUGCCAAUGUGUUCAUAA
Molecule: long non-coding RNA, 662 nt
Filed under: Parus major (Great Tit)
Lineage: Eukaryota; Metazoa; Chordata; Aves; Passeriformes; Paridae
Description: lncRNA (ENSPMJG00000012611.1)
Source: RNAcentral